Molecule: ribosomal RNA, 253 nt
Filed under: uncultured bacterium
Lineage: Bacteria
Description: partial 16S ribosomal RNA
Rfam family: Bacterial small subunit ribosomal RNA
Source: RNAcentral
UACGAAGGGGGCUAGCGUUGCUCGGAAUCACUGGGCGUAAAGCGCACGUAGGCGGCUCUUUAAGUCAGGGGUGAAAUCCCAAGGCUCAACCUUGGAACUGCCUUUGAUACUGGGGAUCUCGAGUCCGGAAGAGGUUGGUGGAACUCCGAGUGUAGAGGUGAAAUUCGUAGAUAUUCGGAAGAACACCAGUGGCGAAGGCGGCCAACUGGUCCGGCACUGACGCUGAGGUGCGAAAGCGUGGGGAGCAAACAGG